UACGAAGGGGGCUAGCGUUGUUCGGAAUUACUGGGCGUAAAGCGUGCGCAGGCGGCUUCUCAAGUCAGGGGUGAAAGCCCAGAGCUCAACUCUGGAAUUGCCUUUGAGACUGAGUGGCUUGAGUACGAGAGAGGUGAGUGGAAUUCCCAGUGUAGAGGUGAAAUUCGUAGAUAUUGGGAAGAACACCAGUGGCGAAGGCGGCUCACUGGACCACUUCUGACGCUGAGACACGAAAGCGUGGGUAGCAAACAGG
Molecule: ribosomal RNA, 253 nt
Filed under: uncultured bacterium
Lineage: Bacteria
Description: partial 16S ribosomal RNA
Rfam family: Bacterial small subunit ribosomal RNA
Source: RNAcentral